RNAcentral lists this non-coding RNA (500 nucleotides) under Perkinsus marinus ATCC 50983. RNAcentral describes it as "Eukaryotic small subunit ribosomal RNA". It matches the Rfam family "Eukaryotic small subunit ribosomal RNA", at positions 1 to 504 of the family's 1831-position model. Lineage: Eukaryota; Perkinsozoa; Perkinsida; Perkinsidae. The record is from Rfam by way of RNAcentral.
CACCUGGUUGAUCCUGCCAGUAGUCAUAUGCUUGUCUCAAAGAUUAAGCCAUGCAUGUCUAAGUAUAAGCUUUAAACGGCGAAACUGCGAAUGGCUCAUUAAAACAGUUAUAGUUUAUUUGGUGAUCGAUUACUAUUUGGAUAACCGUAGUAAUUCUAGAGCUAAUACAUGCGUCAAGGCCCGACUUCGGAAGGGCUGCGUUUAUUAGAUACAGAACCAACCUAGGCUCCGCCUAGUCCUUGUUGGUGAUUCAUAAUAACCCGGCGAAUCGCACGGCUUGUCCGGCGAUGGACCAUUCAAGUUUCUGACCUAUCAGCUAUGGACGGUAGGGUAUUGGCCUACCGUGGCGUUGACGGGUAACGGGGAAUUAGGGUUCGAUUCCGGAGAGGGAGCCUGAGAAACGGCUACCACAUCUAAGGAAGGCAGCAGGCGCGCAAAUUACCCAAUCCUGAUACAGGGAGGUAGUGACAAGAAAUAACAAUACAGGGCAAUUCUGUCUG